CGCAAUGGGCGCAAGCCUGACGGAGCGACGCCGCGUGAUUGAUGAAGUCCCUCUGGGACGUAAAGAUCUUUUAUCAGGGAGAAAGUUUAUUGAUAGUACCUGAUGAAUAAGGGGUUGCUAAACUCGUGCCAGCAGCAGCGGUAAUACGAGUGCCCCAAGCGUUAUCCGGAAUUACUGGGCGUAAAGGGUGUGUAGGUGGUUGUGUUAGUCUUUUGUUAAAUUCUUCGGCUUAACCGGGGGCAUGCAAAAGAAACGGCACAACUAGAGGAUACGGGGGGCCUGUGGAACUCAUGGAGUAGGGGUGAAAUCCGUUGAUAUCAUGGGGAACACCGAAAGCGAAGGCAGCAGGCUGGCGUAUUCCUGACACUGAAACACGAAAGCGU
This 383-nucleotide ribosomal RNA is filed under the name uncultured organism. RNAcentral describes it as "bacterial SSU rRNA". It matches the Rfam family "Bacterial small subunit ribosomal RNA", at positions 367 to 762 of the family's 1533-position model. The record is from RNAcentral.